AAUGGGAUGACUGAGUGAAGGUGAUAAAUUGUAAAUUUAUUUAGGAUUAAAAAUCUCUCAUUA
RNAcentral lists this transfer RNA (63 nucleotides) under Coleoptera sp. 22 KM-2017. RNAcentral describes it as "tRNA-Tyr". Lineage: Eukaryota; Metazoa; Arthropoda; Insecta; Coleoptera. The record is from RNAcentral.